Molecule: ribosomal RNA, 105 nt
Filed under: Lachnospiraceae bacterium KH1T2
Lineage: Bacteria; Bacillati; Bacillota; Clostridia; Lachnospirales; Lachnospiraceae
Description: 16S rRNA. Bacterial SSU
Rfam family: Bacterial small subunit ribosomal RNA
Source: RNAcentral
CUAUAAUCGAGAGUUCGAUCCUGGCUCAGGAUGAACGCUGGCGGCGUGCCUAACACAUGCAAGUCGAACGAGACUGAGAUGACUGAGUCUUCGGACAAAGGAAUU